This 722-nucleotide ribosomal RNA is filed under the name uncultured Fusobacterium sp. RNAcentral describes it as "bacterial SSU rRNA". It matches the Rfam family "Bacterial small subunit ribosomal RNA", at positions 28 to 776 of the family's 1533-position model. Lineage: Bacteria; Fusobacteriati; Fusobacteriota; Fusobacteriia; Fusobacteriales; Fusobacteriaceae. The record is from RNAcentral.
GAUGAACGCUGACAGAAUGCUUAACACAUGCAAGUCAACUUGAACUUCGGUUUGGGUGGCGGACGGGUGAGUAACGCGUAAAGAACUUACCUCACAGAUAGGGACAACAUUUGGAAACGAAUGCUAAUACCUGAUAUUAUGAUUUUAGGGCAUCCUAGGAUUAUGAAAGCUAUAUGCGCUGUGAGAGAGCUUUGCGUCCCAUUAGCUAGUUGGAGAGGUAACGGCUCACCAAGGCGAUGAUGGGUAGCCGGCCUGAGAGGGUGAUCGGCCACAAGGGGACUGAGACACGGCCCUUACUCCUACGGGAGGCAGCAGUGGGGAAUAUUGGACAAUGGACCAAGAGUCUGAUCCAGCAAUUCUGUGUGCACGAUGAAGUUUUUCGGAAUGUAAAGUGCUUUCAGUUGGGAAGAAAAAAAUGACAGUACCAACAGAAGAAGUGACGGCUAAAUACGUGCCAGCAGCCGCGGUAAUACGUAUGUCACAAGCGUUAUCCGGAUUUAUUGGGCGUAAAGCGCGUCUAGGUGGUUAUAUAAGUCUGAUGUGAAAAUGCAGGGCUCAACUCUGUAUUGCGUCGGAAACUGUGUAACUAGAGUACUGGAGAGGUAAGCGGAACUACAAGUGUAGAGGUGAAAUCCGUAGAUAUUUGCAGGAAUGCCGAUGGGGAAGCCAGCUUACUGGACAGAUACUGACGCUGAAGCGCGAAAGCGUGGGUAGCAAACAGG